AAGCAUAUGUAACAUACCAUACCAUAACAUUUGUAUUAUUUACUUAAACAACUUUAAAGGUUUACAAGAGUUAGGACUUAGGAUACAGAAUUUUACCAAGGCAAAGUUACGACUUACAAGACUAUGAAAUGUUUUGAACAGAGCAUCCAAGUUUAUAACUAAAAAGAAACAAAAACAUUCAGUAACAAAAGAUGGGCUAGAUUAUCAAGUGUUCGUCAUCCUUCUGAAUCCUCUUUUGCCUCGCGAUGAAGGCUUCAAUCUUUGUCCUAAACUGUUCGUUGCUCAUUUUA
This 290-nucleotide long non-coding RNA is filed under the name Brassica napus (rape). RNAcentral's name for it is "long non-coding RNA (BNAP_LNC002450)". The record is from RNAcentral. Lineage: Eukaryota; Viridiplantae; Streptophyta; Magnoliopsida; Brassicales; Brassicaceae.